GACGAACGCUUGCGGCGUGCUUAACACAUGCAAGUCGAACGGAAAGGCCCUGCUUUUGUGGGGUGCUCGAGUGGCGAACGGGUGAGUAACACGUGAGUAACCUGCCCUUGACUUUGGGAUAACUUCAGGAAACUGGGGCUAAUACCGGAUAGGAGCUCCUGCUGCAUGGUGGGGGUUGGAAAGCUUCGGCGGUUGGGGAUGGACUCGCGGCUUAUCAGCUUGUUGGUGGGGUAGUGGCUUACCAAGGCUUUGACGGGUAGCCGGCCUGAGAGGGUGACCGGCCACAUUGGGACUGAGAUACGGCCCAGACUCCUACGGGAGGCAGCAGUGGGGAAUAUUGCACAAUGGGCGGAAGCCUGAUGCAGCAACGCCGCGUGCGGGAUGACGGCCUUCGGGUUGUAAACCGCUUUCGCCUGUGACGAAGCGUGAGUGACGGUAAUGGGUAAAGAAGCACCGGCUAACUACGUGCCAGCAGCCGCGGUGAUACGUAGGGUGCGAGCGUUGUCCGGAUUUAUUGGGCGUAAAGGGCUCGUAGGUGGUUGAUCGCGUCGGAAGUGUAAUCUUGGGGCUUAACCCUGAGCGUGCUUUCGAUACGGGUUGACUUGAGGAAGGUAGGGGAGAAUGGAAUUCCUGGUGGAGCGGUGGAAUGCGCAGAUAUCAGGAGGAACACCAGUGGCGAAGGCGGUUCUCUGGGCCUUUCCUGACGCUGAGGAGCGAAAGCGUGGGGAGCGAACAGGCUUAGAUACCCUGGUAGUCCACGCUGUAAACGGUGGGUACUAGGUGUGGGGUCCAUUCCACGGGUUCCGUGCCGUAGCUAACGCUUUAAGUACCCCGCCUGGGGAGUACGGCCGCAAGGCUAAAACUCAAAGGAAUUGACGGGGCCCCGCACAAGCGGCGGAGCAUGCGGAUUAAUUCGAUGCAACGCGUAGAACCUUACCUGGGUUUGACAUGGAUCGGGAGUGCUCAGAGAUGGGUGUGCCUCUUUUGGGGUCGGUUCACAGGUGGUGCAUGGCUGUCGUCAGCUCGUGUCGUGAGAUGUUGGGUUAAGUCCCGCAACGAGCGCAACCCUUGUUCACUGUUGCCAGCACGUUAUGGUGGGGACUCAGUGGAGACCGCCGGGGUCAACUCGGAGGAAGGUGGGGAUGACGUCAAGUCAUCAUGCCCCUUAUGUCCAGGGCUUCACGCAUGCUACAAUGGCUGGUACAGAGAGUGGCGAGCCUGUGAGGGUGAGCGAAUCUCGGAAAGCCGGUCUCAGUUCGGAUUGGGGUCUGCAACUCGACCUCAUGAAGUCGGAGUCGCUAGUAAUCGCAGAUCAGCAACGCUGCGGUGAAUACGUUCCUGGGGCU
RNAcentral lists this ribosomal RNA (1346 nucleotides) under uncultured bacterium. RNAcentral describes it as "partial 16S ribosomal RNA". It matches the Rfam family "Bacterial small subunit ribosomal RNA", at positions 28 to 1381 of the family's 1533-position model. The record is from RNAcentral.